GGUCUCGUGGCGGAAUUGGUAUACGCGCCUGUUUCAGAGGCAGGUGUCCGCAAGGGCGUGAGGGUUCGACUCCCUCCGAGACUA
RNAcentral lists this transfer RNA (84 nucleotides) under Spirochaetota bacterium. RNAcentral's name for it is "Spirochaetes bacterium tRNA-Leu". It matches the Rfam family "tRNA". From Rfam's summary of the family: Transfer RNA (tRNA) molecules are approximately 80 nucleotides in length. Lineage: Bacteria; Pseudomonadati; Spirochaetota. The record is from RNAcentral.